RNAcentral lists this transfer RNA (76 nucleotides) under Candidatus Saccharimonadota bacterium. RNAcentral describes it as "tRNA-Trp". It matches the Rfam family "tRNA". From Rfam's summary of the family: Transfer RNA (tRNA) molecules are approximately 80 nucleotides in length. RNAcentral also lists the same sequence under 2 other names. The record is from RNAcentral. Lineage: Bacteria; Candidatus Saccharimonadota.
AGGGGAGUAGCUCAGUUGGUAGAGCACUGGUCUCCAAAACCAGUGGCCGCAGGUUCGAGCCCUGUCUCCCCUGCCA